RNAcentral lists this transfer RNA (66 nucleotides) under Taphozous melanopogon (black-bearded tomb bat). RNAcentral's name for it is "tRNA-Pro". The record is from RNAcentral. Lineage: Eukaryota; Metazoa; Chordata; Mammalia; Chiroptera; Emballonuridae.
CAAGAAGUAGUUUAAUUAGAAUUUCAGCUUUGGGUGUUGAUGGUGAGGCGCAUGCCUUCUUCUUGA